RNAcentral lists this long non-coding RNA (1350 nucleotides) under Nicotiana benthamiana. Its description in RNAcentral is "long non-coding RNA (NBEN_LNC014581)". The record is from RNAcentral. Lineage: Eukaryota; Viridiplantae; Streptophyta; Magnoliopsida; Solanales; Solanaceae.
CUAUCCCAUAGGUUGGGGUCAGGCUUCUUGUAAACCUGUAUUGUCUCAACAUCAGCAGGGUUUGCCAUUUUCCAUCGGCAUAGUGGAUGAGGAACUCGAUGACGAGUAUACUGACUCACAGUCUGGUUGCCGGAAGAAUCCAUUUUUGCGCUUGACAUGUAAAAUACAAAAGGCUUUUGACACGGGUUACGCAUCACAGGCCUUGUGUUAAAAGCAUAUGCUUUGUAAUCUGCUCUUCUAUACCAGUUUAAGAAAGUCCUUGAUGGCAUUUCUAUUUCACGGGGAGACAGAACUCCACGGAAUAUUUGUACUGCAAAUCCCCACGACACUGAAAUAGUCCAACUAUUAACUUUUUCAUAGCAAAUGGAUUGCUGCAUAAUACCAGCUGAGUCGAGUUUCAUUGGCACUGUAAGCUGCUUCAAAGCCUGCACUUGAGUCACAUUGGGAAAGAUUGGCUCCACCACAUCAAGAUGGUGCAACGAUACCAAUGGUGCAACAGGAUGUGAUGCUAGCAACCCAAAUAAGUUCCCGUACACAUCGUACUGCAUUCCCAUCCACCAACAACAAAUCUUAGUCAGAUUGAAUGGAACAGUCUUUCAUGACUGAAAAAAUAGCCAUUUUAAAUAUCUAACUAUAACUAAGCUACAGUCCGCAAUCACUUCUUCCACAAGCAUGUGCAAAUACCAAAAUGCCGUAAAAAAGAAUAAAUAAAAUCUACCAUAUUCAUGGCAAGAGGUCAUGUAUGCUUGCUAUGCUCGCAUCAGGCAGUCGAAUGGAUACUCCAUUAUGCCGUUAAUCAAACAUACAAUCAGAGGUAGCAGCACUCACACCGAUCCAAUGAACGAAUCACAUUCCACAUCAUUAUUUCUAGAAUUUAAUUCAUUUGUGUAAAUAUAUUAACGGGACAAUUUCGCCUGAAUACUCAAGGAGAAAAAGAAAAAACACACAUUCUAAAACCAUUAUUUCAUGACAACCAAUUAGCUGAAAUCUGAUAUGAAACAGACUCCUCUGUUUUCUUUUUUGGUGUGAGCUCACAUAAAUAAAGUUAUCUUUAAAACGCUUUUGCUCAAUUAACACUUAUGAAUAAAAGGGCAAUGCUGCAACGGUAUAAAAUACUCCACGCCUCUACGAGUACCCUUUUGGCAAAAGAGUAGUUCAUCCCAUUGUUACUCACAAACAACUCGCAUUGUUAAAAUAAGUAGGCUAAAGUACUAACUAUUCAGAAUAAGCUGGCCAAAUUCAAGAAACCAACAAGUUCUACAUUUUCAGGUAAUAACUAUAUACUUACUCCCACAUUAAAAACCAAUAACGGAUAAUCAGUGCGGUAAAAAGAAAGGUGUAAUUAACAAA